UACGAGAGGCCCAAACGUUAUUCGGAAUUACUGGGCUUAAAGAGUUCGUAGGCGGCGCAGAAAGUAGGGUGUGAAAUCCCUCGGCUCAACCGAGGAAUUGCGCUCUAAACUACUGUGCUCGAGGGACCUAGAGGUAAGCGGAACUGAUGGUGGAGCGGUGAAAUGCGUUGAUAUCAUCAGGAACACCGGAGGCGAAGGCGGCUUACUGGGGGUCUUCUGACGCUGAGGAACGAAAGCCAGGGGAGCGAACGGG
This 253-nucleotide ribosomal RNA is filed under the name uncultured bacterium. RNAcentral describes it as "partial 16S ribosomal RNA". It matches the Rfam family "Bacterial small subunit ribosomal RNA", at positions 524 to 776 of the family's 1533-position model. The record is from RNAcentral.